This 497-nucleotide ribosomal RNA is filed under the name uncultured bacterium. RNAcentral describes it as "partial 16S ribosomal RNA". It matches the Rfam family "Bacterial small subunit ribosomal RNA", at positions 28 to 507 of the family's 1533-position model. The record is from RNAcentral.
GAUGAACGCUGGCGGCGUGCCUAAUACAUGCAAGUCGAGCGAACAGAUAAGGAGCUUGCUCCUUUGACGUUAGCGGCGGACGGGUGAGUAACACGUGGGUAACCUACCUAUAAGACUGGGAUAACUUCGGGAAACCGGAGCUAAUACCGGAUAAUAUUUCGAACCGCAUGGUUCGAUAGUGAAAGAUGGUUUUGCUAUCACUUAUAGAUGGACCCGCGCCGUAUUAGCUAGUUGGUAAGGUAACGGCUUACCAAGGCGACGAUACGUAGCCGACCUGAGAGGGUGAUCGCCCCCACUGGAACUGAGACACGGUCCAGACUCCUACGGGAGGCAGCAGUAGGGAAUCUUCCGCAAUGGGCGAAAGCCUGACGGAGCAACGCCGCGUGAGUGAUGAAGGUCUUCGGAUCGUAAAACUCUGUUAUUAGGGAAGAACAUACGUGUAAGUAACUGUGCACGUCUUGACGGUACCUAAUCAGAAAGCCACGGCUAACUACGUG